Dipodomys ordii (Ord's kangaroo rat) is the source of this 70-nucleotide non-coding RNA. NCBI's taxonomy places the organism in Eukaryota, Metazoa, Chordata, Mammalia, Rodentia, Heteromyidae. The record is from Rfam.
GGGAUGGUGGCUCAGUGGUAGAGUGCUUGUCUUGCAUGCAUGAGGGCCUGGGUUCGAUUCCUUACCACCA